UUCACUGGAUACAUUGGUGCCUUACACUGU
RNAcentral lists this non-coding RNA (30 nucleotides) under Mus musculus (house mouse). The record is from RNAcentral. Lineage: Eukaryota; Metazoa; Chordata; Mammalia; Rodentia; Muridae.